AAGGCCAUACGGGUCAUUUUCAAAAAAUGUGGAUAUUUCAGUUGUGAAAUAACAAUACAAAAAAAUAUUCAAUUUUCAACUUUAAUAUAUGAAAUUGAAUAGUUUAACAACAAUACAACCUGAAAUAAAAAUAUGCAAUCUUAAAUGCUACUACAAAAAUAUUUUAAAAAAUAACAUAGAAACAAGUAUGGGACAUAUGUCAACUACAUAACGGAUUUAGUUUCGGUCCCUAAUUUUUUUUUAAUAAUAUUUACAUUUUGCUUGAUAUAUAUUUCCAUAAAAAUCAUCACACUUUUUUCAAAACAGUUAACAUGGUUAAAAUAACACUUUUUAGAAACAUAUUUUAAAGUGAAUUUAAUUCAGCAUUGUCAACUACAUAACGCUUUUUGUCAACUACAUAACGAUUCACUGCGUUAUGUAGUUGACCGUUAUGUAGUUGACCUAUUUGUGGUUUUUGGAUGUUUUUCUUGACCCUAAUACUACCAGAUAAAUGGUUUUUAUUGAAUUAGAGUCAGUAUUAUAGACUUUGAAUGAUUUAUGUAAAAAAAAAUAUUUAUGCCAAAAUUUAUCAAUGUUUUUGCCGUUACAAAGUUGACAUAGAAUAAAAUUACGGAGUAAUUUGUACUCACCAAAACUAAUCUAUAAUGAAAUGAAUCAAUGAUGUCAUCCUGUAACUUUAAGCACGUCAUCAGAGGAUGAAGAGUAAGUAGAGAACACUUCCUUAGUUACAAGGGAUAUAAUCAGUUGUUUAUUGGCAACAUUAUUUCAUUUGUGUUAUGUAGUUGACAUUUUUUUAAGUACGAAAUGAAAAGUAAAAAAAAAAUGCUAAUAAAAUCUAAUAAUUCCCUGUAUUUGUGUAUACAUACCUGCAGUGAUACCUAUAUAUUUAUAAUAACAAAAGAAAAAUAAUAAUUUCCGCUGGGUAUUAAAACCAGCAUUUAAAAAAGACUAGUUUUUCAAUUUCGUACAAGCAAUUUUGGGGUUUUUGGACCCUUUGAAACCCACUGGAAGCAAUUUCUGUAGCUAAAUUUCAUAUUGAAUUUGCUGGAACUUGUUACACACACCAAAAACUAAAUGGUGUAUCUAAAAAUUGGAUAAAAAUAUUUACACUUUUUUAGAAAUAUUGAUUGUACAAGAAAAUCCACAUUUUUUGAAAAAGGCCCAUCAGUGACCUAUAGUU
This 1180-nucleotide long non-coding RNA is filed under the name Mytilus galloprovincialis (Mediterranean mussel). Lineage: Eukaryota; Metazoa; Mollusca; Bivalvia; Mytilida; Mytilidae. The record is from RNAcentral.